RNAcentral lists this ribosomal RNA (238 nucleotides) under uncultured bacterium. RNAcentral describes it as "partial 16S ribosomal RNA". It matches the Rfam family "Bacterial small subunit ribosomal RNA", at positions 334 to 567 of the family's 1533-position model. The record is from RNAcentral.
CACUUCCUACGGAGGGCAGCAGUGAGGAAUAUUGGUCAAUGGCCGAGAGCCUGAACCAGCCAAGUCGCGUGAGGGAAGAAGGCCCUGCGGGUCGCAGACCUCUUUGGACGGGGAGCAAGGCCGCCGACGUGUCGGCGGAAGGAGAGUACCCGUAGAACAAGCAUCGGCAAACUCCGUGCCAGCAGCCGCGGUAAUACGGAGGAUGCGAGCGUUAUCCGGAUUUAUUGGGUUUAAAGGG